ACUCAAAUGAAUAGACGGGGGCCCGCACAAGCGGUGGAGCAUGUGGAUUAAUACGUCACUAACCGUAGAACCUUACCCAGGCUUGACAUCCACGGAACCGGCCCGAAAAGGCGGGGUGCCCCGCAAGGGGAGCCGUGAGACAGGUGUUGCAUGGCUGUCGUCAGCUCGUGUCGUGAGAUGUUGGGUUAAGUCCCGCAACGAGCGCAACCCUCACCGUAUGUUGCCAGCGUCAAGUCGGGCACUCUUACGGAACUGCCCGGGUAACCGGGAGGAAGGUGAGGACGACGUCAAGUCAGCAUGGCCCUUACGCCUGGGGCUUCACACAUGCUACAAUGGCCGGUACAAAGGGUUCCGAACUCGCGAGAGGGGGGCAAUCCCAAAAAGCCGGUCUCAGUUCGGAUCGCAGGCUGCAACUCGCCUGCGUGAAGGUGGAAUCGCUAGUAAUUGCCGGUCAGCUAAACGGCAGUGAAUACGUUCCCGGGCCUUGCACACACCGCCCGU
Molecule: ribosomal RNA, 501 nt
Filed under: uncultured bacterium
Lineage: Bacteria
Description: partial 16S ribosomal RNA
Rfam family: Bacterial small subunit ribosomal RNA
Source: RNAcentral